UACGGAGGGGGCUAGCGUUGUUCGGAAUUACUGGGCGUAAAGAGCGUGUAGGCGGCCAGGUAGGUCCGUUGUGAAAACUCGAGGCUCAACCUCGAGACGCCGAUGGAAACCAUCUGGCUAGAGUCCGGAAGAGGAGAGUGGAAUUCCCGGUGUAGCGGUGAAAUGCGCAGAUAUCGGGAAGAACACCCGUGGCUAAGGCGGCUCUCUAGUACGGUACUGACGCUGAGACGCGAAAGCGUGGGGAGCGAACAGG
This 253-nucleotide ribosomal RNA is filed under the name uncultured bacterium. RNAcentral's name for it is "partial 16S ribosomal RNA". It matches the Rfam family "Bacterial small subunit ribosomal RNA", at positions 524 to 776 of the family's 1533-position model. The record is from RNAcentral.